AUCAGUUGGUAUCAGAGCAAGGUUCUUCGGUGAGAGACUUCUAAUCCUUUGCUGUUUUUAAUUAAUUUCCUAUAGUCCAGAAAAGCCAAAAAAAUAUAGUAGAUUAGUUUUUCCAUAAUCCUAUUAAACCUUUGUGCCUUGACUAGUACCGUUUUAGUUAGGGCUUGUUGAAUUUGUGUUGCUUCGGUUUGUGUCGAGUUGCUGGUCUUAGUGUCUAGUCCUGUAGAGUUUCGAGUUCUUGUCACCAUCUAUACACAGCCGAGUAUUACCAUAUCUUCUCUCUGUCGAACCUGUUGCGAAGUCUGAAUUGAACUGUGGUCUUGGUCCGGAUCGAGUAGAGUUCCAAUCUGAGUUUCCACCAACGUGAUAAAAAAAAGAAGGAAACUGAGUAGAACUCGGCAAUAGGUGGAAUCCGUUUUGUGGUUGGUUCUGAGUGGAAACCGAACAGAACUUGGAGUCCGCUUGUUAAUAUAGCCUGAACUCCGUCUAUGUGAGUCCUCCUGUGAUCCAAAAAGAAAGAUAACUCCAUACUUGUUCGGCCUUACUCUAGAGAGAGAGAGAGAAAAAAAAAGUGUGUGUAGCGAAUUGCUCUUUUGUAUUCUUUU
RNAcentral lists this long non-coding RNA (605 nucleotides) under Sorghum bicolor (sorghum). RNAcentral's name for it is "long non-coding RNA (SBIC_LNC010463)". Lineage: Eukaryota; Viridiplantae; Streptophyta; Magnoliopsida; Poales; Poaceae. The record is from RNAcentral.